This 277-nucleotide ribosomal RNA is filed under the name uncultured bacterium. RNAcentral's name for it is "partial 16S ribosomal RNA". It matches the Rfam family "Bacterial small subunit ribosomal RNA", at positions 32 to 319 of the family's 1533-position model. The record is from RNAcentral.
AAUCAACGCUGGCGGCGUGCCUAACACAUGCAAGUCGAACGAGAAAGGGGAGCAAUCCCUGAGUAAAGUGGCGACCGGGUGAGUAACACGUGACUAACCUGCCUUCGAGUGGGGGAUAACCUCGGGAAACCGGGGCUAAUACCGCAUAAUGCCUUCGGGUUAAAGGAGCAAUUCGCUUGAAGAGGGGGUCGCGGCUGAUUAGCUAGUUGGCGGGGUAACGGCCCACCAAGGCGAUGAUCGGUAGCCGGCCUGAGAGGGCGCACGGCCACACUGGAAC